RNAcentral lists this transfer RNA (77 nucleotides) under Candidatus Magasanikbacteria bacterium CG_4_10_14_0_2_um_filter_41_10. RNAcentral's name for it is "tRNA-Gly". It matches the Rfam family "tRNA". From Rfam's summary of the family: Transfer RNA (tRNA) molecules are approximately 80 nucleotides in length. The record is from RNAcentral. RNAcentral also lists the same sequence under 1 other name. Lineage: Bacteria; Candidatus Magasanikiibacteriota.
GCGGUAGUAGCUCAGUUGGUUAGAGCGCUUCCUUGCCAAGGAAGAGGUCGCCAGUUCGAAUCUGGUUUACCGCUCCA